This 486-nucleotide ribosomal RNA is filed under the name uncultured bacterium. Its description in RNAcentral is "partial 16S ribosomal RNA". It matches the Rfam family "Bacterial small subunit ribosomal RNA", at positions 30 to 507 of the family's 1533-position model. The record is from RNAcentral.
AUUGAACGCUGGCGGCAUGCCUUACACAUGCAAGUCGAACGGCAGCACGGGUGCUUGCACCUGGUGGCGAGUGGCGCACGGGUGAGUAAUACAUCGGAACAUGUCCUGUAGUGGGGGAUAGCCCGGCGAAAGCCGGAUUACUACCGCAUACGAUCUACGGAUGAAAGCGGGGGACCUUCGGGCCUCGCGCUAUCGGGUUGGCCGAUGGCUGAUUAGCUAGUUGGUGGGGUAAAGGCCUACCAAGGCGACGAUCAGUAGCUGGUCUGAGAGGACGACCAGCCACACGGGGACUGAGACACGGCCCAGACUCCUACGGGAGGCAGCAGUGGGGAAUUUUGGACAAUGGGCGAAAGCCUGAUCCAGCAAUGCCGCGUGUGUGAAGAAGGCCUUCGGGUUGUAAAGCACUUUUGUCCGGAAAGAAAUCCUUGGCCCUAAUACGGUCGGGGGAUGACGGUACCGGAAGAAUAAGCACCGGCUAACUACGUG